AUGAGUUGUGAUGGGGUUUGAUGCUGGCAGCCAACUUGUGUGGAUGCAUGUGCUUGCCCCCCUAACAAUCAUCUUCCAAACACCUGUGCACAUUUUUGAGGGAUAUUCGAGCUGAUUACUGCCUUUGGUGAUUUUCUUGCAUUCCCUUAAAUCGUUUAUACACCGUUAACAAUGCUGAACGUGCUUUGUGCCGCAAGGCAAGUAAUAUAAUA
RNAcentral lists this unclassified non-coding RNA (212 nucleotides) under uncultured Clavulina. RNAcentral's name for it is "sequence contains ITS1". The record is from RNAcentral. Lineage: Eukaryota; Fungi; Basidiomycota; Agaricomycetes; Cantharellales; Hydnaceae.